CGCAUCUGUGCAUGCAGCAUAUCAAUAAGCGGAGGAAAAGAAACUAACAAGGAUUCCCUUAGUAACGGCGAGUGAAGCGGGAAGAGCUCAAAUUUGAAAUCUUCAAGGUUUUACCUUGACGAAUUGUAGUUUAAAGAAGUGUUUUCUGUUGAAGUUUUGGUAAAAGUUCUUUGGAAUAGGACAUCAUAGAGGGUGAGAAUCCCGUAUUUGACCAUUAUUUUCAGCUGUGUGAUACACUUUCAAAGAGUCGGAUUGUUUGGGAAUGCAGUCCAAAAUGGGUGGUAAAUUUCAUCUAAAGCUAAAUAUUGGCGAGAGACCGAUAGCGAACAAGUACCGUGAGGGAAAGAUGAAAAGAACUUUGAAAAGAGAGUUAAACAGUACGUGAAAUUGUCAAAAGGGAAGCGUUUGACACCAGUGUUGUUUUCUCGAAAAUCAAUUAAAAAGAGUUAGAUUUUGUUGUGUAUUGACCUUAACAGCUCGCAUUUCAAUUUUCUUGCUUUUUUUAAUGCACUUUUCGUUUAACAAGUCAACAUCAGUUUCUUUUGUUGUAAAAAGGUCAUUGGAAGGUGGCUUUCUUUUCGGAGAAAGUGUUUAUAGCCUUUGACUCCUGCAAUCGGAGAGACUGAGGUCUGCAGCGUAGAUCCUUCGGGGUUAGAUACAUUUGUGCUAAGUUAUAGCUUUUUAUAGACAACUUGUUGACUAUGAUUAGUCUUGUAGCUUACUCGCUUAUGCUAUUUUACCUACGCUUAGGAUGUUGAUGUGAUACUGCGAGCA
This 774-nucleotide ribosomal RNA is filed under the name uncultured Neocallimastigales. RNAcentral's name for it is "partial large subunit ribosomal RNA". It matches the Rfam family "Eukaryotic large subunit ribosomal RNA", at positions 26 to 629 of the family's 3401-position model. Lineage: Eukaryota; Fungi; Neocallimastigomycota; Neocallimastigomycetes; Neocallimastigales. The record is from RNAcentral.